RNAcentral lists this ribosomal RNA (1621 nucleotides) under Vibrio cholerae. Its description in RNAcentral is "partial 23S ribosomal RNA". It matches the Rfam family "Bacterial large subunit ribosomal RNA", at positions 1213 to 2818 of the family's 2925-position model. The record is from RNAcentral. Lineage: Bacteria; Pseudomonadati; Pseudomonadota; Gammaproteobacteria; Vibrionales; Vibrionaceae.
UCUUUUAGAUAUUGGGUAGGGGAGCGUUCUGUAAGCCGUUGAAGGUGAAUCGUAAGGUUUGCUGGAGGUAUCAGAAGUGCGAAUGCUGACAUGAGUAACGACAAAGGGGGUGAAAAACCUCCUCGCCGGAAGACCAAGGGUUCCUGUCCAACGUUAAUCGGGGCAGGGUGAGUCGACCCCUAAGGUGAGGCCGAAAGGCGUAAUCGAUGGGAAACGGGUUAAUAUUCCCGUACUUCUGACUAUUGCGAUGGGGGGACGGAGAAGGCUAGGUGGGCCAGGCGACGGUUGUCCUGGUUCAAGUGCGUAGGCUUGAGAGUUAGGUAAAUCCGGCUCUCUCUAAGGCUGAGACACGACGUCGAGCUGCUACGGCAGUGAAGUCAUUGAUGCCAUGCUUCCAGGAAAAGCCUCUAAGCUUCAGAUAGUCAGGAAUCGUACCCCAAACCGACACAGGUGGUCGGGUAGAGAAUACCAAGGCGCUUGAGAGAACUCGGGUGAAGGAACUAGGCAAAAUGGUACCGUAACUUCGGGAGAAGGUACGCUCUUGAUGGUGAAGUCCCUCGCGGAUGGAGCUGACGAGAGUCGCAGAUACCAGGUGGCUGCAACUGUUUAUUAAAAACACAGCACUGUGCAAAAUCGCAAGAUGACGUAUACGGUGUGACGCCUGCCCGGUGCCGGAAGGUUAAUUGAUGGGGUUAGCGCAAGCGAAGCUCUUGAUCGAAGCCCCGGUAAACGGCGGCCGUAACUAUAACGGUCCUAAGGUAGCGAAAUUCCUUGUCGGGUAAGUUCCGACCUGCACGAAUGGCGUAAUGAUGGCCACGCUGUCUCCACCCGAGACUCAGUGAAAUUGAAAUCGCUGUGAAGAUGCAGUGUACCCGCGGCUAGACGGAAAGACCCCGUGAACCUUUACUACAGCUUGGCACUGAACAUUGAACCUACAUGUGUAGGAUAGGUGGGAGGCUAUGAAGACGUGACGCCAGUUGCGUUGGAGCCGUCCUUGAAAUACCACCCUUGUAUGUUUGAUGUUCUAACUUAGACCCAUUAUCUGGGUUGAGGACAGUGCCUGGUGGGUAGUUUGACUGGGGCGGUCUCCUCCCAAAGAGUAACGGAGGAGCACGAAGGUGGGCUAAUCACGGUUGGACAUCGUGAGGUUAGUGCAAUGGCAUAAGCCCGCUUAACUGCGAGAAUGACGGUUCGAGCAGGUGCGAAAGCAGGUCAUAGUGAUCCGGUGGUUCUGUAUGGAAGGGCCAUCGCUCAACGGAUAAAAGGUACUCCGGGGAUAACAGGCUGAUACCGCCCAAGAGUUCAUAUCGACGGCGGUGUUUGGCACCUCGAUGUCGGCUCAUCACAUCCUGGGGCUGAAGUCGGUCCCAAGGGUAUGGCUGUUCGCCAUUUAAAGUGGUACGCGAGCUGGGUUUAGAACGUCGUGAGACAGUUCGGUCCCUAUCUGCCGUGGGCGUUGGAAGAUUGAAGGGGGCUGCUCCUAGUACGAGAGGACCGGAGUGGACGAACCUCUGGUGUUCGGGUUGUGUCGCCAGACGCAUUGCCCGGUAGCUAAGUUCGGAAUUGAUAAGCGCUGAAAGCAUCUAAGCGCGAAGCGAGCCCUGAGAUGAGUCUUCCCUGA